GACGAACGCUGGCGGCGUGCUUAACACAUGCAAGUCGAACGGAAAGGCCCUGCUUUUGUGGGGUGCUCGAGUGGCGAACGGGUGAGUAACACGUGAGUAACCUGCCCUUGACUUUGGGAUAACUUCAGGAAACUGGGGCUAAUACCGGAUAGGAGCUCCUGCUGCAUGGUGGGGGUUGGAAAGUUUCGGCGGUUGGGGAUGGACUCGCGGCUUAUCAGCUUGUUGGUGGGGUAGUGGCUUACCAAGGCUUUGACGGGUAGCCGGCCUGAGAGGGUGACCGGCCACAUUGGGACUGAGAUACGGCCCAGACUCCUACGGGAGGCAGCAGUGGGGAAUAUUGCACAAUGGGCGGAAGCCUGAUGCAGCAACGCCGCGUGCGGGAUGACGGCCUUCGGGUUGUAAACCGCUUUCGCCUGUGACGAAGCGUGAGUGACGGUAAUAGGUAAAGAAGCACCGGCUAACUACGUGCCAGCAGCCGCGGUGAUACGUAGGGUGCGAGCGUUGUCCGGAUUUAUUGGGCGUAAAGGGCUCGUAGGUGGUUGAUCGCGUCGGAAGUGUAAUCUUGGGGCUUAACCCUGAGCGUGCUUUCGAUACGGGUUGACUUGAGGAAGGUAGGGGAGAAUGGAAUUCCUGGUGGAGCGGUGGAAUGCGCAGAUAUCAGGAGGAACACCAGUGGCGAAGGCGGUUCUCUGGGCCUUUCCUGACGCUGAGGAGCGAAAGCGUGGGGAGCGAACAGGCUUAGAUACCCUGGUAGUCCACGCUGUAAACGGUGGGUACUAGGUGUGGGGUCCAUUCCACGGGUUCCGUGCCGUAGCUAACGCUUUAAGUACCCCGCCUGGGGAGUACGGCCGCAAGGCUAAAACUCAAAGGAAUUGACGGGGCCCCGCACAAGCGGCGGAGCAUGCGGAUUAAUUCGAUGCAACGCGUAGAACCUUACCUGGGUUUGACAUGGAUCGGGAGUGCUCAGAGAUGGGUGUGCCUCUUUUGGGGUCGGUUCACAGGUGGUGCAUGGCUGUCGUCAGCUCGUGUCGUGAGAUGUUGGGUUAAGUCCCGCAACGAGCGCAACCCUUGUUCACUGUUGCCAGCACGUUAUGGUGGGGACUCAGUGGAGACCGCCGGGGUCAACUCGGAGGAAGGUGGGGAUGACGUCAAGUCAUCAUGCCCCUUAUGUCCAGGGCUUCACGCAUGCUACAAUGGCUGGUACAGAGAGUGGCGAGCCUGUGAGGGUGAGCGAAUCUCGGAAAGCCGGUCUCAGUUCGGAUUGGGGUCUGCAACUCGACCUCAUGAAGUCGGAGUCGCUAGUAAUCGCAGAUCAGCAACGCUGCGGUGAAUACGUUCCCGGG
RNAcentral lists this ribosomal RNA (1343 nucleotides) under uncultured bacterium. RNAcentral's name for it is "16S ribosomal RNA". It matches the Rfam family "Bacterial small subunit ribosomal RNA", at positions 28 to 1378 of the family's 1533-position model. The record is from RNAcentral.